UACGGGGGGGGGCAAGCGUUGUUCGGAAUUACUGGGCGUAAAGGCUCGUAGGCGGCCAACUAAGUCAGACGUGAAAUCCCUCGGCUUAACCGGGGAACUGCAUCUGAUACUGGAUGGCUUGAGUUCGGGAGAGGGAUGCGGAAUUCCAGGUGUAGCGGUGAAUGACGUAGAUAUCUGGAGGAACACCGGUGGCGAAGGCGGCAUCCUGGACCGCAACUGACGCUGAGACACGAAAGCGUGGGGAGCGAACAGG
Molecule: ribosomal RNA, 253 nt
Filed under: uncultured bacterium
Lineage: Bacteria
Description: partial 16S ribosomal RNA
Rfam family: Bacterial small subunit ribosomal RNA
Source: RNAcentral